UGCUCAUUCGAAUAACGGUGCGAAGAAAGUCCGAGAUAUUAGACAAUGGAUAGGUUUGCUCGGGAUAGCUUUGAAAGUUGCCGAUGUGAAAUAUAAAUGAGAUUACGUCACAUGUUUAUGAUAAUUUGCUUUUUCUCUGUGUGUCGAGUUUCCCGACGUUGUGAAAAAAAAAUUUGCUUGGGUUAACCUAUGAAUAUAAAAAAAAAGCUUAACUUCGAAAGCUAUCGUUUCAAAAACCGACAAAUAUAUUUAAUUUAUUAUCGAAUUCGAUAGAGAAAGAGAAAACAUGAGUGACAUAUUUCAGUUACGAUUUACAUUCUACAAGACGAUAAUACCUAUCGCGUAUGGUGGUAAAGUCUCUGAUCGUGAGACAUUGAAGAUAGUUGUUCAUUAAAAAUAAGAAAACGUGGAGGCUGUCUGUCGCCUCGAACGAUCAGAAAAAUGAUGUCAGCGAUAAGUCAGAUUAAUCGGACAUUAAAGGAGGAAAUCUUCGAAGUCAAAUCAAUCGAGCGGAAAUAGUCAAGAUUAAACUAUUUCUAUACAUAAGCGGCAUAGAACAUCGUCAUCGAUGCAUCCGCCAUACUAAGUUAUUACCAUAAACAACGAUUCUUGCGGUAAAGCUGUUGGCAAUCAUCAUGGUAACGUGGGCGACAGGAAAGAAAUAAAAGGUACGAAACGACGAGAAGAUUUCAUCGAUAAUAAUUCCACGAAAUCGUGACUUACAAUUUAAAUAUUUUUAACGAUGUUACAUUAAUUUUUAUAUAUAAUAUGA
Molecule: long non-coding RNA, 772 nt
Organism: Vespa velutina
Lineage: Eukaryota; Metazoa; Arthropoda; Insecta; Hymenoptera; Vespidae
Exons: 3
Source: RefSeq, a predicted model, not a curated record